Molecule: long non-coding RNA, 1647 nt
Organism: Gallus gallus (chicken)
Lineage: Eukaryota; Metazoa; Chordata; Aves; Galliformes; Phasianidae
Source: Ensembl
UGGAACAGGCUGCCCAGGGAGGUGUCCUCCCUGGAGGUACUAAAAAAACAUGGAGAUGUGGCAAUGAGGGCCAUGGUUAGUAGACAUGGUGGAGGUGGGUUGGCAGUUGGACUCGAUCAUUGAGUCACAGAAUCAUAGAAUGGCCUGGGUUGAAAAGGACCACAAUGAUCAUCAUGUUUCAACCCCCCUGCUGUGUGCAGGGUCACCAACCACCAGACCAGGCUGCCCAGAGCCACAUCCAGUCUGGCCUUGAAUGCCUCCAGGGAUGGGGCAUCCACAACCUCCUUGGGCAACCUGUUCCAAUGAACAGGUUGUGUUCGGUGGUCUUACAGGUCUUUUCCAACCUUAAUGAUUCUGUGGUCCUAUAAUAUAGGAUAUAAUAUGUGGUCCUAUACUGCAUAAUCCUGCUCCCAGGUUUGCAGGGCUGAAGAAAGGUAGGGAUAAUUUUGCCUGCUGUGCAUAGUUUCAGAUUAUGAGUCUUCAGGGCCAUUAAAUUGUUAUCUUUCAUGAUUGCUUAGGUCUUCAAGGGAGUUUUUCUAAAGUACCUAAAUAUUUGAAUUUCACAGCUUACGUUUCUUUCCAAUACAGCUCGUUCCACCUUCACUUGCCUAACUUCAGUGCUAUGUUCCUGUGCUGUCAUUUCCAUGAUUGUCUCUUGCUCUGUAUUAUCUACUGAAAGAGAGGCUGCUGCACCCCCAUCGUUCUCAUACUUCGCUGCCAAGCUGGUGGCUUCAGUUAACAAGUGUCUGGUGCCUUGGGUAUGCAAAGAGCAAUGAAUGUAAGCUCCAGAGGGCAAAAGUCUAAGCAAAAAAAGUCCAUGUAAGAUGUGGGAGAGCACUUAAGCACCAGGGAAAGCUGUAACAAAAUUCCUCUGGCAUCAAGGGUGAGACUCAGCUGAGCUAACCACAACAACAGUGUGAACAGCAAGAUCUGAACUGAUGGUGCUGGAAUGCCUCCACAAUCAACAGAGGGAUACAAUGACACAUACACAGCAUAAAAUGGGCCUUCCUUUCCAUUGACUAGAAACCUGGGACUCUACAUGACCCUGGAGUACUAGCUAAGCAACAGAAUCCUACCUACAGACAUUCCAGAUGCUAUGGUUGAAUUCCACCCAAAAGCCACCCUGAUAUCCUAUUUGGGAACUCUGUUAAUAGAAAAAUGGUUUAUCCAGCCAGCUUUCAUCACAAGCAGUUUCCAAGGGGGUCAUUAAUAUGCUAUGUAAUUCCAAACCUAACUAUUCUAAUGUGCAUUGAUUUCAUCUUAUGUGGGAAAAAGAGCUCAUUGCUUAUUAUAGGUUGUAAUAUAUCUCCACAGAAAAGGUAAAAGCUAGCCGCUAGCGUCACACAAAUGACUAUUAGAGGAGUUAGCAGUGUUUGCUUAAGAUGGUGCAUCACAGCCGAAUGCCUUCCAACAGAGCACUGGGAUGCCAGGCUGCCCUGCAGUGGGAAGGAGCAAGGCAGAAGUAAGCUGAAUUAGGGGAAAAAUGGAAAAAAAGCAGCAGGAACAUGGGUAAGUGCAUGGUAGGUGGAAGCAGUUGGGUCGUGGUGUUUGUCUGCAGGUCCAAUACUGCUGUGCGUGGGUGGCUAACAUGCCCGCAAGGCUCUUCUCAGACUAAUUCCUGCUAAUGUCAUGCAUGGCUAGUUAACC